AGAGUUUGAUUCUGGCUCAGAACGAACGCUGGCGGCAGGCCUAAUACAUGCAAGUCGAACGAGGUAGCAAUACCUAGUGGCGCACGGGUGAGUAACGCGUGGGAAUCUGCCUGAUAGUACGGAAUAACUGCGGGAAACUGCAGCUAAUACCGUAUACGCCCUCCGGGGGAAAGAUUUAUCGCUAUCAGAUGAGCCCGCGUAAGAUUAGCUAGUUGGUGGGGUAAAGGCCUACCAAGGCUACGAUCUUUAGCUGUUCUGAGAGGAAGAUCAGCCACACUGGAACUGAGACACGGUCCAGACUCCUACGGGAGGCAGCAGUAGGGAAUAUUGGACAAUGGGCGAAAGCCUGAUCCAGCCAUGCCGCGUGAGUGAUGAAGGCCUUAGGGUUGUAAAGCUCUUUUGUCAGGGAAGAUAAUGACGGUACCUGAAGAAUAAGUUCCGGCUAACUUCGUGCCGGCAGCCGCGGUAAUACGAAGGGAACUAGCGUUGUUCGGAAUCACUGGGCGUAAAGCGGGCGCAGGCGGAUAUACAAGUCAGGGGUGAAAUCCUGAGGCUUAACCUCAGAAUUGCCUUUGAGACUGUGUAUCUGGAGUGUGUGAGGGGGUAGCGGAAUUCCGUAUGUAGAGGUGAAAUUCGUAGAUAUUCGGAGGAACACCGGUGGCGAAGGCGGCUACCUGGCACACAACUGACGCUGAGGCCCGAAAGCGUGGGGAUCAAACAGGAUUAGAUACCCUGGUAGUCCACGCCCUAAACUAUGAAUGCUAGUUGUUGGUCUUCGGAUCAGUGACGUCGCUAACGCAUUAAGCAUUCCGCCUGGGGAGUACGGUCGCAAGAUUAAAACUCAAAGAAAUUGACGGGGACCCGCACAAGCGGUGGGGCAUGUGGUUUAAUUCGAGGCAACGCGAAGAACCUUACCAGGCCUUGACAUGGGGAGUAUGAAUUCCAGAAAAGGAAUUCUUCAGUUUGGCUGGCUCCCACACAGGUGUUGCAUGGCUGUCGUCAGCUCGUGUCGUGAGAUGUUGGGUUAAGUCCCGCAACGAGCGCAACCCUCAUCCUUAGUUGCCAUCAUUCAGUUGGGCACUCUAAGGAAACUGCCGGUGACAAGCCGGAGGAAGGCGGGGAUGACGUCAAGUCAUCAUGGCCCUUACGGCCUGGGCUACACACGUGCUACAAUGGCGGAUACAAUGCGUCGCUAACCCGCAAGGGCAAGCUAAUCGCUAAAAACCGUCUCAGUUCGGAUUGUCCUCUGCAACUCGAGGGCAUGAAGCUGGAAUCGCUAGUAAUCGUAGAUCAGCAUGCUACGGUGAAUACGUUCCCGGGUCUUGUACACACCGCCCGUCACACCAUGGAAGUUGGUUCCGCCUUAAGUCGCCCUUAAAAGCGCCCACGGCAGGGUCAAUGACUGGGGUGAAGUCGGAACAAGGUAGCCGUAUCGGAAGGUGCGGCUG
RNAcentral lists this ribosomal RNA (1448 nucleotides) under metagenome. RNAcentral's name for it is "bacterial SSU rRNA". It matches the Rfam family "Bacterial small subunit ribosomal RNA". The record is from RNAcentral.